ACGAACGCUGGCGGCAUGCCUAACACAUGCAAGUCGAACGAGACCUUUGGGUCUAGUGGCGCACGGGUGCGUAACGCGUGGGAACCUGCCCUUAGGUUCGGAAUAACUCCCCGAAAGGGGUGCUAAUACCGGAUAAUGUCUUCGGACCAAAGAUUUAUCGCCUUUGGAUGGGCCCGCGUUGGAUUAGCUAGUUGGUAGGGUAAAAGCCUACCAAGGCGACGAUCCAUAGCUGGUCUGAGAGGAUGAUCAGCCACACUGGGACUGAGACACGGCCCAGACUCCUACGGGAGGCAGCAGUGGGGAAUAUUGGACAAUGGGCGAAAGCCUGAUCCAGCAAUGCCGCGUGAGUGAUGAAGGCCUUAGGGUUGUAAAGCUCUUUUACCCGGGAUGAUAAUGACAGUACCGGGAGAAUAAGCUCCGGCUAACUCCGUG
Molecule: ribosomal RNA, 432 nt
Filed under: uncultured bacterium
Lineage: Bacteria
Description: partial 16S ribosomal RNA
Rfam family: Bacterial small subunit ribosomal RNA
Source: RNAcentral